RNAcentral lists this ribosomal RNA (492 nucleotides) under uncultured bacterium. RNAcentral's name for it is "partial 16S ribosomal RNA". It matches the Rfam family "Bacterial small subunit ribosomal RNA", at positions 29 to 507 of the family's 1533-position model. The record is from RNAcentral.
AGUGAACGUUGGCGGUAGGCCUAACACAUGCAAGUCGAACGGCAGCACAGUAAGAGCUUGCUCUUACGGGUGGCGAGUGGCGGACGGGUGAGGAAUACAUCGGAAUCUACUUUUUCGUGGGGGAUAACGUAGGGAAACUUACGCUAAUACCGCAUACGACCUACGGGUGAAAGCAGGGGAUCUUCGGACCUUGCGCGAUUGAAUGAGCCGAUGUCGGAUUAGCUAGUUGGCGGGGUAAAGGCCCACCAAGGCGACGAUCCGUAGCUGGUCUGAGAGGAUGAUCAGCCACACUGGAACUGAGACACGGUCCAGACUCCUACGGGAGGCAGCAGUGGGGAAUAUUGGACAAUGGGCGCAAGCCUGAUCCAGCCAUACCGCGUGGGUGAAGAAGGCCUUCGGGUUGUAAAGCCCUUUUGUUGGGAAAGAAAAGCAGCAGGUUAAUACCCCGCUGUUCUGACGGUACCCAAAGAAUAAGCACCGGCUAACCUCGUG